AGGCAGCAGUAGGGAAUCUUCCACAAUGGGCGCAAGCCUGAUGAGCAACACCGCGUGAGUGAAGAAGGGUUUCGGCUCGUAAAGCUCUGUUGUUAAAGAAGAACACGUAUGAGAGUAACUGUUCAUACGUUGACGGUAUUUAACCAGAAAGUCACGGCUAACUACGUGCCAGCAGCCGCGGUAAUACGUAGGUGGCAAGCGUUAUCCGGAUUUAUUGGGCGUAAAGAGAGUGCAGGCGGUUUUCUAAGUCUGAUGUGAAAGCCUUCGGCUUAACCCGGAGAAGUGCAUCGGAAACUGGAUAACUUGAGUGCAGAAGAGGGUAGUGGAACUCCAUGUGUAGCGGUGGAAUGCGUAGAUAUAUGGAAGAACACCAGUGGCGAAGGCGGCUACCUGGUCUGCAACUGACGCUGAGACUCGAAAGCAUGGGUAGCGAACAGGAUUAGAUACCCUGGUAG
Molecule: ribosomal RNA, 455 nt
Filed under: uncultured bacterium
Lineage: Bacteria
Description: bacterial SSU rRNA
Rfam family: Bacterial small subunit ribosomal RNA
Source: RNAcentral